Molecule: ribosomal RNA, 497 nt
Filed under: uncultured bacterium
Lineage: Bacteria
Description: partial 16S ribosomal RNA
Rfam family: Bacterial small subunit ribosomal RNA
Source: RNAcentral
GACGAACGCUGGCGGCGUGCCUAAUACAUGCAAGUUGAGCGCUGAAGGUUGGUACUUGUACCAACUGGAUGAGCAGCGAACGGGUGAGUAACGCGUGGGGAAUCUGCCUUUGAGCGGGGGACAACAUUUGGAAACGAAUGCUAAUACCGCAUAAAAACUUUAAACACAAGUUUUAAGUUUGAAAGAUGCAAUUGCAUCACUCAAAGAUGAUCCCGCGUUGUAUUAGCUAGUUGGUGAGGUAAAGGCUCACCAAGGCGAUGAUACAUAGCCGACCUGAGAGGGUGGUCGGCCACAUUGGGACUGAGACACGGCCCAAACGCCUACGGGAGGCAGCAGGAGGGAAUCUUCGGCAAUGGACGAAAGUCUGACCGAGCAACGCCGAGUGAGUGAAGAAGGUUUUCGGAUCGUAAAACUCUGUUGGUAGAGAAGAACGUUGGUGAGAGUGGAAAGCUCAUCAAGUGACGGUAACUACCCAGAAAGGGACGGCUAACUACGUG